RNAcentral lists this ribosomal RNA (253 nucleotides) under uncultured bacterium. RNAcentral describes it as "partial 16S ribosomal RNA". It matches the Rfam family "Bacterial small subunit ribosomal RNA", at positions 524 to 776 of the family's 1533-position model. The record is from RNAcentral.
UACGUAGGGUGCAAGCGUUAUCCGGAUUCACUGGGUUUAAAGGGUGCGUAGGCGGGUAAGUAAGUCCGUGGUGAAAUCUCUGAGCUUAACUCAGAAACUGCCGUGGAUACUAUUUGCCUUGAAUAUUGUGGAGGUGAGCGGAAUAUGUCAUGUAGCGGUGAAAUGCUUAGAUAUGACAUAGAACACCAAUUGCGAAGGCAGCUCACUACACAAUCAUUGACGCUGAGGCACGAAAGCGUGGGUAGCAAACAGG